Molecule: long non-coding RNA, 351 nt
Filed under: Ursus americanus (American black bear)
Lineage: Eukaryota; Metazoa; Chordata; Mammalia; Carnivora; Ursidae
Description: lncRNA (ENSUAMG00000022006.1)
Source: RNAcentral
GACACACUCUUUUUUUGCUUCAGGGGUUCGUGGUGCGAGGAUGUGGCAGGUGUCUUCUGACCCAGGAAAACAGCCUGAGGACAAGGCCAAGAGGCGAGGAGGGCAGAGUGGAAGGGAAGGAAUCAGACUGCUGAUGAAGCCGUUCAGCCACUGGAUGAGCCCAGAGCUUCCCCACCUCUGGACUGACUUACUGGAAGGGUAUGUCCAUCCAGGUUCUCUGGCCUGCCUGAGCACGGACUUUCCUGGCGCUGUCCGCAAGGACGAGUUUCAGAGCCGGCCUUCGUGGACUAUAUCCAGACGAAUUCUUACCAUCCUCCCUGCAGUUUGUGUUUGCCCUCAGGUAAGUUCCAU